Molecule: ribosomal RNA, 435 nt
Filed under: uncultured bacterium
Lineage: Bacteria
Description: partial 16S ribosomal RNA
Rfam family: Bacterial small subunit ribosomal RNA
Source: RNAcentral
GAUGAACGCUGGCGGUAUGCUUAACACAUGCAAGUCGAACGGACUCUUCGGAGUUAGUGGCGGACGGGUGAGUAACGCGUGAGAAUCUGGCUUUGGGUUCGGGACAACCACUGGAAACGGUGGAUAAUACCGGAUGUGCCGAGAGGUAAAAGAGAAAUUGCCUGAAGAUGAGCUCGCGUCUGAUUAGCUAGUUGGUGAGGUAAAGGCUCACCAAGGCAGCGAUCAGUAGCUGGUCUGAGAGGAUGACCAGCCACACUGGGACUGAGACACGGCCCAGACUCCUACGGGAGGCAGCAGUGGGGAAUUUUCCGCAAUGGGCGAAAGCCUGACGGAGCAAUACCGCGUGAGGGAAGAAGGCUCUUGGGUUGUAAACCUCUUUUCUUAGGGAAGAACAAAAUGACGGUACCUAAGGAAUCAGCAUCGGCUAACUCCGUG